UGGGGAAUAUUGCACAAUGGGGGAAACCCUGAUGCAGCGACGCCGCGUGAGCGAAGAAGUAUUUCGGUAUGUAAAGCUCUAUCAGCAGGGAAGAAAAAUGACGGUACCUGACUAAGAAGCACCGGCUAAAUACGUGCCAGCAGCCGCGGUAAUACGUAUGGUGCAAGCGUUAUCCGGAUUUACUGGGUGUAAAGGGAGCGCAGGCGGUACGGCAAGUCUGAUGUGAAAGCCCGGGGCUCAACCCCGGUACUGCAUUGGAAACUGUCGGACUAGAGUGUCGGAGGGGUAAGUGGAAUUCCUAGUGUAGCGGUGAAAUGCGUAGAUAUUAGGAGGAACACCAGUGGCGAAGGCGGCUUACUGGACGAUUACUGACGCUGAGGCUCGAAAGCGUGGGGAGCAAACAGGAUUAGAUACCC
Molecule: ribosomal RNA, 416 nt
Filed under: uncultured bacterium
Lineage: Bacteria
Description: bacterial SSU rRNA
Rfam family: Bacterial small subunit ribosomal RNA
Source: RNAcentral